CGGUGCAGCAACAUCACAACACCCACUGCCGCCCACCACCGCUCACUGUGUUCCUCUUCCUUAUCCACACACAACACACAACCCCAUUCCUACUUCUCUUCUGUGCGCAGCCGUGGUGGCUGGCCGGAGCCAGGGCAGCAACCCUUGUCGGUGAGGAACCACCAGAGGACGCCAUGGAUGGCGCUUUGGAGCUGCGUCGCCCGACCUGGCCGCUAGCCCAGUCUCUGAUCCCUGAGUCAGCAGCCUCGGAUUCGGCCCGAUUCGGACGUCCACAGCCUCCGCCACCUGCGCAUGCCCCCUAGGUCCGGCCGAUGAUCUCGCGCCGCUGCGUCUGCUCGCGUUGACCCCGAGGAGGCCAACGCCUCUCCAGCCGCGGCCCACCUGCCUUGGCCCGUCCUGCAACGGCGGUAGCAGGCCUGGCAGGUUCUGGCAGCGUCGGGCUGCUGCGGCGGCAUCCCCGUGUGGUGGUGGUGGAGCUCUCUGAGGGAAGGGAGAGGAGGGUAGGUCCUGAGUUUGAACUCGUAUCUAUUGCAUUCUCUUCAUCUUCUUCCCCAUAGGAGCAGCCACAGCAGCUGAGCACAGGGCCGCGGCCUUCAACUCUCCAAGGCCAGCCUGCAGCUCCCCCCACAGCAGCAGAUCACACCCGUGCGCGCGCACCCGAGGCCGCCCCUGCCUCCUCCAACUGCGCAAGCAGUCCAAGCCAGACUCCCGCCCCCCUCUCCUAUCCUAUCUUCCCCUUCCUCUCUCUAAUCUCACAUGUUUUCUACAGGGAGCCCGCCAUGGAGACGCCACCUCUCCGUCUCGAUCCGUUCGCCAGCAUGGGCCGGAUCUGCCGGCCGCUGCUGGUGUCCUCGAAGGAGCCCGCCAUGGAGAUCGCCGCCUCUCCCUCUCAUCCAUCCACCGCUGGUUUCCUUCAGGGACCCGCCAUGGAGGUUGCCGCCUCUCCCGUCUCGAUCCCUCCAUCGCUGGAUCCACGGCGGAGCAGCCGAGAUCCGCUGCCCAGGCGAGCGCCCAUCGAUGCCGCUGGUGUCCCUUGGCCUUUGCUUUUUUAUUAUUCUUUUUACUUUAUUUCUCCAGGGUAAAUAUGUAGUGCGGGUUGAAUAACACAAACUAUAGGUUUUUUUGCAAAAAGGCGUGACGUACGGCAGAAACCCAAUUCUCUUUAUUAUUACUAGUACAAAUGCCCGUGCGUUGCACCGGGCGGUAAAAUGGACAUAACCUACUUCAUGUGUCACUGUGCAUAAUUUUUUUAUAUCCAUAUUAAUACAUGUUGAUAAUAUAGUUAAA
This is a long non-coding RNA of Triticum dicoccoides, 1287 nucleotides long. RefSeq lists it as uncharacterized. The record is from RefSeq and is a predicted model, not a curated record. Lineage: Eukaryota; Viridiplantae; Streptophyta; Magnoliopsida; Poales; Poaceae. The transcript has 2 exons.